This 44-nucleotide non-coding RNA is filed under the name unclassified sequences. The record is from RNAcentral.
CCGCCACAACGGCUUCCUGGCGUGCGGGGAUCACCAAUGGAGCG